UAAGUAGACCGCCUGGGGAGUACGGCCGCAAGGUUAAAACUCAAAUGAAUUGACGGGGGCCCGCACAAGCGGUGGAGCAUGUGGUUUAAUUCGAUGCAACGCGAAGAACCUUACCUGGUCUUGACAUCCACAGAACUUUCCAGAGAUGGAUUGGUGCCUUCGGGAACUGUGAGACAGGUGCUGCAUGGCUGUCGUCAGCUCGUGUUGUGAAAUGUUGGGUUAAGUCCCGCAACGAGCGCAACCCUUAUCCUUUGUUGCCAGCGAUUAGGUCGGGAACUCAAAGGAGACUGCCAGUGAUAAACUGGAGGAAGGUGGGGAUGACGUCAAGUCAUCAUGGCCCUUACGACCAGGGCUACACACGUGCUACAAUGGCGCAUACAAAGAGAAGCGACCUCGCGAGAGCAAGCGGACCUCAUAAAGUGCGUCGUAGUCCGGAUUGGAGUCUGCAACUCGACUCCAUGAAGUCGGAAUCGCUAGUAAUCGUGGAUCAGAAUGCCACGGUGAAUACGUUCCCGGGCCUUGUACACACCGCCCGUCACACCAUGGGAGUGGGUUGCAAAAGAAGUAGGUAGCUUAACCUUCGGGAGGGCGCUUACCACUUUGUGAUUCAUGACUGGGGUGAAGUCGUAACAAGGUAACCGUAGGGGAACCUGCGGUUGGA
RNAcentral lists this ribosomal RNA (661 nucleotides) under Salmonella enterica. Its description in RNAcentral is "bacterial SSU rRNA". It matches the Rfam family "Bacterial small subunit ribosomal RNA", at positions 861 to 1522 of the family's 1533-position model. Lineage: Bacteria; Pseudomonadati; Pseudomonadota; Gammaproteobacteria; Enterobacterales; Enterobacteriaceae. RNAcentral also lists the same sequence under 3 other names. The record is from RNAcentral.